This 409-nucleotide ribosomal RNA is filed under the name uncultured bacterium. RNAcentral describes it as "bacterial SSU rRNA". It matches the Rfam family "Bacterial small subunit ribosomal RNA", at positions 509 to 916 of the family's 1533-position model. The record is from RNAcentral.
CAGCAGCCGCGGUAAUACAGAGGUCUCAAGCGUUGUUCGGAUUCAUUGGGCGUAAAGGGUGCGUAGGUGGCGCCAUAAGUCGGGUGUGAAAUUUCGGAGCUUAACUCCGAAACUGCAUUCGAUACUGUGGUGCUUGAGGACUGGAGAGGAGACUGGAAUUCACGGUGUAGCAGUGAAAUGCGUAGAGAUCGUGAGGAAGACCAGUGGCGAAGGCGGGUCUCUGGACAGUUCCUGACACUGAGGCACGAAGGCCAGGGGAGCAAACGGGAUUAGAUACCCCGGUAGUCCUGGCAGUAAACGGUGCACGUUUGGUGUGGGGGGAUUCGACCCCUUCCGCGCCGGAGCUAACGCGUUAAACGUGCCGCCUGGGGAGUACGGUCGCAAGAUUAAAACUCAAAGAAAUUGACGG